RNAcentral lists this long non-coding RNA (1307 nucleotides) under Mus musculus (house mouse). RNAcentral's name for it is "RIKEN cDNA 9330133O14 gene". The record is from RNAcentral. Lineage: Eukaryota; Metazoa; Chordata; Mammalia; Rodentia; Muridae.
ACUGGAUAGCCUGAGUGACCGUCGGGACAGCGGGGCCAUCUGCUGCUGAAACAGCGGAGCUGAAAAAGGAUACGCAUCUAGCCUCUACGCUGCAUGAAAAGCUCACUAGACGGUGAAUCCGGAGGGAUCCGCAGCCCAAGGUCGCGCCCGAGCCCCACAUCCUGGAAUCUUCUACAUUCACAAUCUGACUUCUCUUGUCACAACCUCCAGUCUCCUGGUCCCACAGUCUGGGGUCUCACAGCUUGCCUGAGGUGUCCAGCCGCCGCGCCGGCGGAUGUACUGCAUCCGAGAUGGGCAUUUUCUCUCCCAAGCUCCACACAAGCAAGAAUUUUGUCGUUUUUUUUUUUUUUUUUUCCGUAGCUGAAAUGGAUCGGCACAUUUCUGUGUCAUUCUUACGAAACAGAUACAACUUCCUGGUUCCACCUCCUGUAAAAUCGUGGCUGUUGAAUGGCUUAGAGUUCCGAAGAUGUGCGAGCACACGAUACCCACCCAGGCCACCAGUUCUGUUCCUAGGAGUGUGGAUGGUACCUAAUCCUUUCACAGCCUUCUGGCUGACAUUUUCUACACAGUGAAUGGGAGUUGCUUUUUUUUUCCAUGCUGCUUUUUCUACGUCUGAGUUUCUUGGACACUUUCCAGCUGCACACCAAAACAGCUUCCUUGUUUGUCUAGACCGUCGGUAAUUGACUCAAGCCGUCCCCCUUGGAAGCCAUGCACCGGACUUUCCUUGCAUUGUGUAUAAGAGUGCUUGCGUAGAUUCCUAGAAGUGGAUGAACCAGCCAAGCAGCUAUGUGCCUGGGGCGAUGUUGAUAGCUGUUGGCCGGCUGCCAUCUUGGAAGCUGGAUCGAUUGCUCAGCUCUCUCUGCUAGAGCGAGAGUGUGUGAAUAGGCCUUCUGCGCCACAGUAGACAGCCUGUCAGUCAGGCUGACAGCUGACCAAUGGGAGUUCACUAUUGUUUCCUUGUGGCUUGUGAGAUGGCUCGUAUUUUCAAUUUCUCUUGCAAUAACUUUUCUGCUUCAUACACACACACACACACACACACACACACACACACACACACACCAGCAGAAAGGUGGUGUGUUUAAUCCCAACACUCAGGAGGCAGAGGUCAGGUGGAUUUCUGUAAAUUCCAGGGCAGCCUGAUCUACAGAGUAAGUUCCAGGGCUACACAGAAACCAUGUCUUGAAAAAACCUAAAUAAAUAAACCCAAAGAAGAAGAAGGGGGGAGGAUGUCUCUGUGAGUUCAAGGCCAGCCAGAAGUUCACUGUGAGAUCCUGUCUCUAAAAAAUAAAAACAAUAAGUUAAAGAAA